RNAcentral lists this ribosomal RNA (492 nucleotides) under uncultured bacterium. RNAcentral's name for it is "partial 16S ribosomal RNA". It matches the Rfam family "Bacterial small subunit ribosomal RNA", at positions 29 to 507 of the family's 1533-position model. The record is from RNAcentral.
AGUGAACGCUGGCGGUAGGCCUAACACAUGCAAGUCGAACGGCAGCACAGUAAGAGCUUGCUCUUACGGGUGGCGAGUGGCGGACGGGUGAGGAAUACAUCGGAAUCUACUUUUUCGUGGGGGAUAACGUAGGGAAACUUACGCUAAUACCGCAUACGACCUACGGGUGAAAGCAGGGGAUCUUCGGACCUUGCGCGAUUGAAUGAGCCGAUGUGGGAUUAGCUAGUUGGCGGGGUAAAGGCCCACCAAGGCGACGAUCCGUAGCUGGUCUGAGAGGAGGGUCAGCCACACUGGAACUGAGACACGGUCCAGACUCCUACGGGAGGCAGCAGUGGGGAAUAUGGGACAAUGGGGGCAAGCAUGAUCCAGCCAGACCGCGUGGGUGAAGAAGGCCUUCGGGUUGUAAAGCCCUUUUGUUGGGAGAGAAAAGCAGCAGGUUAAUACCCCGCUGUUCUGACGGUACCCAAAGAAUAAGCACCGGCUAACUUCGUG